GACGAACGCUGGCGGCGUGCUUAACACAUGCAAGUCGAACGGAAAGGCCCUGCUUUUGUGGGGUGCUCGAGUGGCGAACGGGUGAGUAACACGUGAGUAACCUGCCCUUGACUUUGGGAUAACUUCAGGAAACUGGGGCUAAUACCGGAUAGGAGCUCCUGCUGCAUGGUGGGGGUUGGAAAGUUUCGGCGGUUGGGGAUGGACUCGCGGCUUAUCAGCUUGUUGGUGGGGUAGUGGCUUACCAAGGCUUUGACGGGUAGCCGGCCUGAGAGGGUGACCGGCAACAUUGGGACUGAGAUACGGCCCAGACCCCUCCGGGAGGCAGCAGAGGGGAAUAUUGCACAGUGGGGGGAAGCCUGAUGCAGCGACGCCGCGUGCGGGAUGACGGCCUUUGGGUUGUAAACCGCUUCCGCCUGUGACGAAGCGUGAGUGACGGUAAUGGGUAAAGAAGCACCGGCUAACUACGUG
RNAcentral lists this ribosomal RNA (468 nucleotides) under uncultured bacterium. Its description in RNAcentral is "partial 16S ribosomal RNA". It matches the Rfam family "Bacterial small subunit ribosomal RNA", at positions 28 to 507 of the family's 1533-position model. The record is from RNAcentral.